AGGGUUUGAUCAUGGCUCAGGAUGAACGUUGGCGGCGUGCCUAACACAUGCAAGUCGAACGCUAAUAGCAAUAUUGGAGUGGCGCACGGGUGAGUAACACGUAGCUUAUCUACCUCAAAGCGCGGGAUAACGUGUCGAAAGACAGGCUAAUACCGCAUAAGCUCCCGAUCUGUAGAGGGUUGAGAGAAAAGGCGCAAGUCACUUUGAGAUGAGGCUGCGGCCCAUCAGCUAGUUGGUGAGGUAAAAGCUUACCAAGGCGACGACGGGUAGGGGACCUGAGAGGGUGACCCCCCACACUGGGACUGAGACACGGCCCAGACUCCUACGGGAGGCAGCAGUGAGGAAUAUUGCACAAUGGGCGCAAGCCUGAUGCAGCGACGCCGCGUGGGUGAAGAAGGUUUUCGGAUCGUAAAACCCUUUUCUGUGUGACGAGUAAGGACGGUAGCACAGGAAUAAGUCUCGGCUAACUACGUGCCAGCAGCCGCGGUAAAACGUAGGAGACAAACGUUAUCCGGAGUUACUGGGCGUAAAGGGCGUGUAGGUGGUUGCGUAAGUCUGGCGUGAAAUAUCUCGGCUUAACCGAGGCAGGUCGUCGGAUACUGCGUAACUCGAGGACGGUAGAGGCGUGUGGAAUUCCGGGUGUAGUGGUGAAAUGCGUAGAGAUCCGGAGGAACACCAGUGGCGAAGGCGACACGCUGGGCCGUACCUGACACUGAUGCGCGACAGCAUGGGGAGCAAACAGGAUUAGAAACCCUGGUAGUCCAUGCCGUAAACGAUGCUAGCUGGGUGUUCAGGGGGGAAACCCCUCGGGGU
RNAcentral lists this ribosomal RNA (813 nucleotides) under uncultured Chloroflexota bacterium. Its description in RNAcentral is "bacterial SSU rRNA". It matches the Rfam family "Bacterial small subunit ribosomal RNA", at positions 8 to 846 of the family's 1533-position model. The record is from RNAcentral. Lineage: Bacteria; Bacillati; Chloroflexota.